UGGGGAAUAUUGGACAAUGGAGGAAACUCUGAUCCAGCAAUUCUGUGUGUGUGAAGAAGGUUUUAGGACUGUAAAACACUUUUAGUAGGGAAGAAAAAAAUGACGGUACCUACAGAAGAAGCAACGGCUAAAUACGUGCCAGCAGCCGCGGUAAUACGUAUGUUGCGAGCGUUAUCCGGAAUUAUUGGGCUUAAAGGGCAUCUAGGCGCUAAGACAAGUUGAAGGUGAAAACCUGUGGCUCAACCAUAGGCUUGCCUACAAAACUGUUGAACUAGAGUACUGGAAAGGUGGGUGGAACUACACGAGUAGAGGUGAAAUUCGUAGAUAUGUGUAGGAAUGCCGAUGAUGAAGAUAACUCACUGGACAGAAACUGACGCUGAAGUGCGAAAGCUAGGGGAGCAAACAGG
Molecule: ribosomal RNA, 407 nt
Filed under: Verrucomicrobiota bacterium
Lineage: Bacteria; Pseudomonadati; Verrucomicrobiota
Description: Verrucomicrobia bacterium partial 16S ribosomal RNA
Rfam family: Bacterial small subunit ribosomal RNA
Source: RNAcentral